UCAGAUCACCCUUUUUCCUGCAUUUUUAAGUGAUGGCAGUCCUUUCUGCCUCUGAAUUGCAACCAGGCUACCCGAUUCUAUGGGACUGACAACAAGAGCCCUUCUGAGGUAUAUGUCUAAUGGUGGAAGUUCUGGAUCAAAGGAUAUGAACAGUUGAGUCACUUUGCUCAAAUAAUUCCAAAUUACAGCAUGACUGGACCAAUUCACAGUUCCACUGACAGCGACAGCUAACAAUUUGCAGUAUGGCUAACAUCAAUACAAGAAAACACCAAAAUCAAAACAAAACAC
Non-coding RNA from Phascolarctos cinereus (koala), 288 nucleotides. The record is from RefSeq and is a predicted model, not a curated record. Lineage: Eukaryota; Metazoa; Chordata; Mammalia; Diprotodontia; Phascolarctidae.